GACGAACGCUGGCGGCGUGCUUAACACAUGCAAGUCGAACGAAGAGCGAUGGAAGCUUGCUUCUAUCAAUCUUAGUGGCGAACGGGUGAGUAACGCGUAAUCAACCUGCCCUUCAGAGGGGGACAACAGUUGGAAACGACUGCUAAUACCGCAUACGAUCUAACCUCGGCAUCGAGGAUAGAUGAAAGGUGGCCUCUACAUGUAAGCUAUCACUGAAGGAGGGGAUUGCGUCUGAUUAGCUAGUUGGAGGGGUAACGGCCCACCAAGGCGAUGAUCAGUAGCCGGUCUGAGAGGAUGAACGGCCACAUUAGGACUGAGACACGGCCCAGACUCCUACGGGAGGCAGCAGUGGGGAAUCUUCCGCAAUGGACGAAAGUCUGACGGAGCAACGCCGCGUGAGUGAUGACGGCCUUCGGGUUGUAAAGCUCUGUUAAUCGGGACGAAAGGCCUUCUUGCGAAUAGUUAGAAGGAUUGACGGUACCGGAAUAGAAAGCCACGGCUAACUACGUG
RNAcentral lists this ribosomal RNA (510 nucleotides) under uncultured bacterium. Its description in RNAcentral is "partial 16S ribosomal RNA". It matches the Rfam family "Bacterial small subunit ribosomal RNA", at positions 28 to 507 of the family's 1533-position model. The record is from RNAcentral.